GUGACAGUGUGACACAGUCUCUCUCUCUUUCUCUCUCUCUCUCUCCUUUUCUCUUUCUCUGUCUUUCUCUCUCUUCCUCUUUUUUCUUCUCUUUCUUACUUUUUAGGACUUUUGGCCACCUGAAGCCAAGAUUCUUAGUUGCCGUGUCUAGCUGGGAAGGGGGAAAGGGAGAGGAAGAAAGAGACCAGUGCCUUUGGACAAUAGCUUCUCUCUGGGACAGCCCCCAUGACAAGGAAACUUGUUUAUACUGGCAGAUAUCCUUGUGGCUCUCGUCUGACCUGUGUCCAGUUUAGGCCUGUCUGGCCAUGGCUCUGGCUCUGAGAGCCUGGCGUUGUGCUCUCCCUUGGCGUCCGAGGGAAAAUCUGUCCUGGAUCAGUCUCCGGUUCUUUGGACGGAAGGUGCAAAUUUAAUAUGCUACCACAAUAGUGAGAAAUCUCAAAUCCACUAAGGUGUAACUGCUGGCUCAAGAAGUGCAUAUUGC
Nycticebus coucang (slow loris) is the source of this 481-nucleotide long non-coding RNA. RefSeq lists it as uncharacterized. Lineage: Eukaryota; Metazoa; Chordata; Mammalia; Primates; Lorisidae. The record is from RefSeq and is a predicted model, not a curated record. The transcript has 3 exons.